GCCUCACUGCCUGCCUCCUUUUCUUCCCCCUGCUGCUUGCAGUUCCCCUUUUGUGAACUGAAGUUCACAAAACCCCCUUUGGAAAAAACAUAAAUCACAGGAGCAUCUGUAAUUUAUGCUUUUUCCCAGGCGCAUCCUCAGCUUUGGCCAAAUAAACCUCUAAUGGAUGGAGACUUGCUUCAGUCACUUUUUGGUUUACAUUUUGGUAACCACAAAGGGGCUUUCUGAGUGGAGUUGGCUCUUGGCCUGUAGCAACUCUCCUACUGGGGCCCUAGUACCAGCUGGAGCUCUUUAUUGCUCUGACCUAUUGGAUGAUUUGCUGAAGUCUGAGAGUUUCUCCCUCCAGAGAUCCCUAAUCACUCAAAAAUUUCCAGUUGAGAUCUGAAGUUUAUUCCACUGCAGAACUCCUUUUCUGAGAGUUCUUACUUCUAACAAGGAAGAAGACUUUCCUGCUUCCGUGAUGGCAGAGAGCAGUUUUCAGCUUGUGCCCCAUCUCCAGGGUGAAAGAUAUCUCCUUCAAAGCUUUUCAGGGGCCCAACUGGAAAAUCUUAAUGUUAAUUUAAGGUCAAAAGACAUAAUUUAGAAUUUGUUUUGGACAGGCACAUAGACCAAUGGAACAGACUAGAGAACUCAGAAAUAAAAUCACACCUCUACAACCAUCUGAUCUUCAACAAAGUUGACAAAAACAAGCAAUGGGGAAGUGAUUCUCUAUUUAACAAGUGGUGCUGUGAGAACUGGCUAGCCAUAUGCAAAAAUUGAAACUGGACCCCUUCCUUACACCGUAUACAAAAAUUAACUCAAGAUGGAUUAAAGACUUAAAUGUAAAACCCGAAAUUAUAAAAACCCUAGAAGAAAAUCUAGGCAAUACCAUUCAGGACACAGACGUGGGCAAAGAUUUUACGAUGAAAUUGCCAAAAACAAAAGCAAUGGCAACAAAAGCAAAAAUUGACAAAUGGGAUUUAAUUAAACUAAAGAGCUUCUGCACAGCGAAAGAAACUAUCAUCAGAGCAAACAGGCAGAAGAAGGUGGAAGGAGCUGACUUGCUGAGUCUUCCCACCUUCAUCUUUCUCUUGUGCUGAUGCUUCCUGCCCUCGAACAUUGAACUCCAAGUUCUUCAGCUUUUGGACUCUUGGAAACUUACACCAGUAAUUUGCCAGGGGCUGUUAGGCCUUCAGCCACAGACUGAAAGCCGCAUUGUUAGCUUCCCAACUUUUGAGGUUUGGGAACUCAGACUGAACCACCACUGGCUUCUUUGCUCCUCGGCUUGCAGGCAGCCUAUCAUGGGACUUCACCUUGUGAUCGUGUGAGUCAACUCUCCUUAAUAAACUAGAAUAUUUCUCAGAAGCCUGAACAACAUAACUUCUAAGACAAAGAUUUUUUGUGUGGACCAACUCACACUCUCCUUAAUAAACUCUCCUUAAUAAACUCCUUUCAUAUAUACAUAUAUCCUAUUAGUUCUGUCCCUUUGGAGACCCCUGACUAAUACACCACCUUCACUCAACUGGACUCUACAGGCAGAUACCCAAGAGACUGAUAUGCUUUAACAAUGCAG
RNAcentral lists this long non-coding RNA (1552 nucleotides) under Homo sapiens (human). RNAcentral's name for it is "non-protein coding lnc-DAZL-1:2". Lineage: Eukaryota; Metazoa; Chordata; Mammalia; Primates; Hominidae. The record is from RNAcentral.